UGCUAUGACUGACAGCAAUAAAGAUGGAAAAACUUUGGGGAGGGUUGGCGGUCUUAUUUUCUACGCAGUUUGUUUUUAGUUAUAAGUUUUUAUCCUAGAAAUGGCAGAUUAAUCCAAUCACUAGACCUUGUACCCUUUACUGAAACAGCCAGCUCUUUCUCUCCCUCGAAAUGGUAUCGGUAGCCCUGGAGAACACUAAGGACUCUGUUCAGCACAGACGUGCAGAGGAAAGUCAGCAGAUCACUCACAAACCUUAGGGAAUGCCUGCUACCAGUUCUGAGUAAAGCCAAAGGGAGCAGAGAGUCAAGCUGCACUGAGUUUUCAUUCACCGUCUUCCUAAAGAGCUCAACUGCAGACAGAUCUGCGUGGGGACCGCUUGGGAAGGAUCAAGCAGGUCACCAGCGUGGAAUCCCAUCUUGAUGGCACGUGCAUGGGGAAGCAUUCGCUCGGAUGCGCUGUCAGGCUUCAAAGCAAACCAGGAUGUCUAUAAAAGAGACUGGGCAGUGUGCAUAACUAACAAGUCCUUGCAACCCAGGCUGGCUGUUUGCAAGUAAGAAUGGCUCCUUGUAGUGCAUGAGUGAGAAAUAUUGAGAGUGUGAUGGGGUUGUGGGCACAGCGGUGGAAAGAUGCAGUCAUGUUAUAGUGACAUUGCUGCAAAGUAAUUACCAUUCGACGUGCUAUUAGUGCUUCAUGCAAUGGUGUAGUAAAGCAUCCAAAUGAGAAUGUACUACUGUAAAGAACUGAUUCAGGACCGCUGAAUACCCGCUCCUCUGCACAGAUGC
Long non-coding RNA from Alligator sinensis (Chinese alligator), 782 nucleotides. RefSeq lists it as uncharacterized. The transcript has 4 exons. NCBI's taxonomy places the organism in Eukaryota, Metazoa, Chordata, Crocodylia, Alligatoridae. The record is from RefSeq and is a predicted model, not a curated record.